GAUGAAGAACGUAGCGAAAUGCGAUAAGUAGUGUGAAUUGCAGACUUUAGUGAAUCAUCGAAUCUUUGAACGCACAUUGCGCCCCUUGGUAUUCCGAGGGGCAUGCCUGUUCGAGCGUCAUUAUAACCCUCAAGCUCAGCUUGGUGUUGGGGCCUGCUGCACUGGCAGCCCUUAAAAUCAGUGGCGGCGCCAUCUGGCUCUAAGCGUAGUAAUUCUUCUCGCUAUGGAGUCCUGGUGGAUGCUUGCCAUCAACCCCCAAUUUUUCUAUGGUUGACCUCGGAUCAGGUAGGGAUACCCGCUGAACUUAAGCAUAUCAAUAAGCGGAGGA
RNAcentral lists this unclassified non-coding RNA (328 nucleotides) under soil metagenome. Its description in RNAcentral is "partial contains 5.8S ribosomal RNA, internal transcribed spacer 2, and large subunit ribosomal RNA". The stretch from base 1 to 120 matches the Rfam family "5.8S ribosomal RNA", at positions 35 to 154 of the family's 154-position model. The record is from RNAcentral.